AUAAGGAGAGGUCAGAACACAGAGACACACACAGGGAAGACGGCCAUGUGAUGAUGGAGGCAGAGAUUGAAGUGAUGCAGCCAUCUAGCCAAGGAACAACAAGGACUGCCAGUGGCCACUGAAGGCUAGGAGAGAGGAAGAGAAUAGAUUCUUCAGAAGGGAUCAGCCCUUCUGACACCUUGACUUUGGAAGUCUAACCUCUAGAAGUCACAUCACCACCUUCUGCUAGCUAUGCAAUGCUCUCCAUCCUACAGGACUCACAUCCAGGAAGCUUGGAAUAUUAAAAACAAAUGUGAAAUAUAUGAAAAAGGAAUAAG
Molecule: long non-coding RNA, 317 nt
Filed under: Homo sapiens (human)
Lineage: Eukaryota; Metazoa; Chordata; Mammalia; Primates; Hominidae
Description: HSALNT0403543
Source: RNAcentral